CGCGAAUUCGCCCUUCGGGGUGCAGCAGGCGCGAAAACUUUACAAUGCGGGAAACCGUGAUAAGGGGACACCGAGUGCCAGCAUCAUAUGCUGGCUGUCCAGGUGUGUAAAAUACACCUGUUAGCAAGGGCCGGGCAAGACCGGUGCCAGCCGCCGCGGUAACACCGGCGGCCCGAGUGGUGAUCGUGAUUAUUGGGUCUAAAGGGUCCGUAGCCGGUUUGGUCAGUCCUCCGGGAAAUCUGACGGCUCAACCGUUAGGCUUUCGGGGGAUACUGCCAGGCUUGGAACCGGGAGAGGUAAGAGGUACUACAGGGGUAGGAGUGAAAUCUUGUAAUCCCUGUGAGACCACCUGUGGCGAAGGCGUCUUACCAGAACGGGUUCGACGGUGAGGGACGAAAGCUGGGGGCACGAACCGGAUUAGAUACCCGGGUAGUCCCAGCCGUAAACGAUGCUCGCUAGGUGUCAGGCAUGGCGCGACCGUGUCUGGUGCCGCAGGGAAGCCGUGAAGCGAGCCACCUGGGAAGUACGGCCGCAAGGCUGAAACUUAAAGGAAUUGGCGGGGGACAC
This 567-nucleotide ribosomal RNA is filed under the name uncultured archaeon. RNAcentral describes it as "bacterial SSU rRNA". It matches the Rfam family "Archaeal small subunit ribosomal RNA", at positions 311 to 879 of the family's 1478-position model. The record is from RNAcentral.